UGUACUGCGGAGGACAUUAACGAAGUUUCAACGGCAUGAGCUGGCGCACUUCUGUGUGCAUGUGCUCGGUCGUUUUCCUUCUAUCAACCCAUGUGCACUUUAAUUAAGGAUCGGAGGGAAGCGCGUCCGGAGGAUUAGCGUAGUACUUGUGGGUCCGUCCUGCUGGGAAAGGUUAAUCUGUCGAUUGGCGCGUGGUACUUUCGUUCCCGAUUUACAAACCACUAUUGUAGUCUUGUCAGAACGUUCAGUCCUAUGGGACGCUAAAUAUAAUACAACUUUCAACAACGGAUCUCUUGGCUCUCGCAUCGAUGAAGAACGCAGCGAAAUGCGAUAAGUAAUGUGAAUUGCAGAAUUCAGUGAAUCAUCGAAUCUUUGAACGCACCUUGCGCCCUUUGGUAUUCCGAAGGGCACGCCUGUUUGAGUGUCAUGUUCGUCUCAAUUCCUAAGAUUUGUUUCUUGGUGAAUUGGAUUUGGGAGCUUUGCUGGCCUGUCGAAGGUCGGCUCUCCUUGAAUGCAUUAGUGGGCAUCUGACUCGCGUUGCUGGUGUGAUAGUUUAUUCAUCAUCGGCGGCGCCUGUCUAAUGGGUCUGCUUUCGAACCGUCUUCUCAACGGAGACAAACAUUUUUUGAAUCGUUUGACCUCAAAUCAGGUGGGACUACCCGCUGAACUUAAGCAUAUCAUAAAAGCGGAAGGAAUU
The sequence is a ribosomal RNA, 697 nucleotides long. The stretch from base 274 to 427 matches the Rfam family "5.8S ribosomal RNA".